This 558-nucleotide ribosomal RNA is filed under the name uncultured bacterium. RNAcentral's name for it is "bacterial SSU rRNA". It matches the Rfam family "Bacterial small subunit ribosomal RNA", at positions 56 to 636 of the family's 1533-position model. The record is from RNAcentral.
UGCAGUCGACGGACGAGGCCCCUUCGGGGACUGAGUUAGUGGCGAACGGGUGAGUAACGCGUGAGGAACCUGCCUUUCAGUGGGGGACAACAGUUGGAAACGACUGCUAAUACCGCAUGAAGCAAUUGAACCGCAUGAUUUGAUUGCCAAAGAUUUAUUGCUGAAAGAUGGCCUCGCGUCUGAUUAGCUAGUUGGUGGGGUAACGGCCCACCAAGGCGACGAUCAGUAGCCGGUCUGAGAGGAUGAACGGCCACAUUGGGACUGAGAUACGGCCCAGACUCCUACGGGAGGCAGCAGUGGGGAAUAUUGGGCAAUGGGGGAAACCCUGACCCAGCAACGCCGCGUGAAGGAAGAAGGCUUUCGGGUUGUAAACUUCUUUUACCAGGGACGAAGAAAGUGACGGUACCUGGAGAAAAAGCCACGGCUAACUACGUGCCAGCAGCCGCGGUAAUACGUAGGUGGCAAGCGUUGUCCGGAUUACUGGGUGUAAGGGCGUGUAGGCGGAAAUUCAAGUCAGGAGUGAAAUCUAUGGCUUACCCAUAAACUGCUUUGAACUGA